RNAcentral lists this unclassified non-coding RNA (1911 nucleotides) under uncultured fungus. Its description in RNAcentral is "sequence contains 18S rRNA gene, ITS1, 5.8S rRNA gene, ITS2, 28S rRNA gene". The stretch from base 776 to 1911 matches the Rfam family "Eukaryotic large subunit ribosomal RNA", at positions 1 to 961 of the family's 3401-position model. Lineage: Eukaryota; Fungi. The record is from RNAcentral.
GGAAGGAUCAUUAACACGUAUCCACGUAUCAACAUCGCGAACCCGUAGCCGCAAGGUUACAGCGGAUAAUCGUGUCUUAGCGCCAAGUCUCUGGUUCAGGUGGCAUCAGACUUUCGCGCGUGGUGUUCUCCUUCAGGAAGCAUCAGAGGCACUUUUAUGCGUCACCCAUUUUUAACCACAAACCAAUUUUUUUCUGUGAUCAUUGUACUGAUAUACCAGGUUGUGUCGCGCCCUGCUGGCAACGGCUUGGCGUGUCACCGCUCGGACAAUACGUAAUUUUGAACAACUCUUAACAACGGAUAUCUUGGCUCUCGUAACGAUGAAGAACGCAGCGAAAUGCGAUACGUAAUGCGAAUUGCAGAAUUCAGUGAAUCAUCAAAUCUUUGAACGCAAAUUGCGCUCUUGGGAUAGCCCUGGGAGCACGCUUCUUUGAGUAUCGUUUUCACCAUUACUCGACCGCGUGUCGGUCGGACAUUGAGAGUCUCAGUCCAGCACUGAGUCUCUUUAAAUGAAUAGAGUUGGGUCAGCACCAGUUCGACUUCAGUAGAUGUGCUUCGGCGCAUUUUGCUGGGACCUUCCAGUCUUCGAUGGCUUGAAGCGGACUUGUGACGUGGAUAAUUUCACCUCGUGUGAUCUUUCUUACGUCCGAGUUUUAGCUCCUUGUUUGUCAUGGCUGGCCGGGUUUGAGGAUUGACGCGACGUUCCUAACGCAAGGGAAAACAUAAGGGGAAAAGUCACACCGGCUUGUCCGGGGUUUCUUUGAACCUUUCGAAUUAGAUCUCAAAUGAAGUGAGAAAACCCGCUGGACUUAAGCAUAUUAUUAAGCGGAGGAAAAGACACUAACAAGGAUUCCCCUAGUAACGGCGAGUGAAGCGGGAAUAGCUCAACCUGAAAAUCGGUGUUCCAAGCGGGGCAUUCGAAUUGUGGGCUAGGGAGGCCGUUUCCGGCGCGACCCGGGUAUAAGUCUUUUGAAACGAGGUAUCAUAGAGGGUGAGAAUCCCGUCUGUGACCCGGAGUUCGCAGCUGUUUCGAGCGGCAUUCUAAGAGUCGAGUUCUUUUGGAAUGGAGCUCUAAAUGGGAGGUAAAUUUCUUCCAAAGCUAAAUAUUGACGAGAGACCGAUAGCGAACAAGUACCGUGAGGGAAAGAUGAAAAGAACUUUGAAAAGAGAGUUAAACAGUACUUGAAAUUGUUAAGAGGGAAGCACUGGAGACCAGUCGUGCCCAAUGUCCAUAUUUUCUAUCCGCCGGGAGAAGUGGUGGUUCACGGGUGGUUAAACCUCGUGGGUUGUUACUAACUCGGCGGGUGGGUCCUGUGGCGUCGGGUGGGUCAGAAUCAGUUCGUUUCGCCGGAGAAGGCCCGUCGGAAGGUAGGAACGCCUGGUUUCGGCCAGGUGUUCUGUUUAGACGGCGGGAGAUACGGUGGGAUGGACUGAGGAACGACAAUGCGCGCCGUAAGGCUGGGCUCCGUUCUCCUGUGGUGCUCACGCUGGGGGACAACAAAGUUGUGCCUUGGCGGGCGGGUGUUAUACCGGGAGCGGAUGACUAAAUGCGCUAUUCGCGAUUCUGACGAAAUGGUCUUCAAUGACCCGUCUUGAAACACGGACCAAGGAGUCUAACAUAUAUGCAAGUAUUUGGGUGGCAAACCCUUUUGCGCAAUGAAAGUAAAGGCUUCGGCUGAGGUAGGAACUCGGACCCUCGGGUCUGGGGGCACUAUCGACCGAUCUUCACUUGUGAUAGAUUUGAGUAAGAGCAUAUCUGUUGGGACCCGAAAGAUGGUGAUCUAUGCCUGAACAGGGCGAAGCCAGGGGAAACUCUGGUGGAGGCUCGUAGCGAUACUGACGUGCAAAUCGUUCGUCUGAUUUGGGUAUAGGGGCGAAAGACUAAUCGAACCAUCUAGUAGCUGGUUCCCUC